Molecule: non-coding RNA, 75 nt
Organism: Nocardia sp. NRRL S-836
Lineage: Bacteria; Bacillati; Actinomycetota; Actinomycetes; Mycobacteriales; Nocardiaceae
Rfam family: ASpks TB sRNA
Source: Rfam
CUUCAGCGAGCCCAGCCACAGCGGCCGGUCGGCCGGGCGGUCCUGCCCGUAGGUCGCGAGGACCGCCUGUGCCUC